This 482-nucleotide ribosomal RNA is filed under the name uncultured bacterium. RNAcentral's name for it is "partial 16S ribosomal RNA". It matches the Rfam family "Bacterial small subunit ribosomal RNA", at positions 28 to 523 of the family's 1533-position model. The record is from RNAcentral.
AAUGAACGUUGGCGGCGUGGAUUAGACAUGCAAGUCGAGCGAGAACCGUAGCAAUACGGGGACAGCGGCGAAAGGGACAGUAAUGUGUAGGUACCUACCCCCGGGUUCGGGAUAGCUGCGGGAAACUGCAGGUAAUACCGAAUAAUGUCUUCGGACCAAAGGUGUGAUUCCACCUGGGGAGGGGCCUGCAUCCUAUUAGCUUGUUGGGGGGGUAACGGCUUACCAAGGCGACGAUGGGUAGCGGGUGUGAGAGCAUGACCCGCGUCAUUGGGAAUGCGACGCUGCCCAGAAACCGACGGGUGGCUGCAGUCGAGGAUCUGCGGCAAUGGGCGCAAGCCUGACCGAGCGACGCCGCGUGCGGGAUGAAGGCCUUCGGGUUGUAAACCGCUGUCGUAGAGGAGGAAAUGCAGGAGGGUUCUCCCUUCUGUUUGACCUAUUCUAGGAGGAAGUACGGGCUAAGUUCGUGCCAGCAGCCGCAGUAA